UUUCCAGAAAAAGAGGGAAGACGUAGGGUGCAAGCGUUAAUCGGAAUUACUGGGCGUAAAGCGUGCGCAGGCGGUGAUGUAAGACAGUUGUGAAAUCCCCGGGCUCAACCUGGGAACUGCAUCUGUGACUGCAUCGCUGGAGUGCGGCAGAGGGGGAUGGAAUUCCGCGUGUAGCAGUGAAAUGCGUAGAUAUGCGGAGGAACACCGAUGGCGAAGGCAAUCCCCUGGGCCUGCACUGACGCUCAUGCACGAAAGCGUGGGGAGCAAACAGGAUUAGAUACCCUGGUAGUCCACGCCCUAAACGAUGUCAACUGGUUGUUGGGUUUUUAUUAACUCAGUAACGAAGCUAACGCGUGAAGUUGACCGCCUGGGGAGUACGGCCGCAAGGUUGAAACUUAAAUGAAUUGACGG
This 411-nucleotide ribosomal RNA is filed under the name uncultured bacterium. Its description in RNAcentral is "bacterial SSU rRNA". It matches the Rfam family "Bacterial small subunit ribosomal RNA", at positions 505 to 916 of the family's 1533-position model. The record is from RNAcentral.